RNAcentral lists this ribosomal RNA (434 nucleotides) under uncultured bacterium. Its description in RNAcentral is "bacterial SSU rRNA". It matches the Rfam family "Bacterial small subunit ribosomal RNA", at positions 958 to 1392 of the family's 1533-position model. The record is from RNAcentral.
AACGCGAAGAACCUUACCUGGGUUUGACAUCCCCUGACACUUGCAGAGAUGUAAGCUUCCCUUCGGGGACAGGGAGACAGGUGCUGCAUGGCUGUCGUCAGCUCGUGUCGUAAGAUGUUGGGUUAAGUCCCGCAACGAGCGCAACCCUUGUCCUUAGUUGCCACCAUUCAGUUGGGCACUCUAGCGAGACCGCCGGUGAUAAACCGGAGGAAGGUGUGGAUGACGUCAAGUCAUCAUGCCCCUUACAUCCUGGGCUACACACGUACUACAAUGCUACGGACAAAGGGCGGCGAGCUCGCGAGAGUAAGCAAAUCCCAUAAACCGUGGCUCAGUUCAGAUCGUAGGCUGCAACUCGCCUACGUGAAGGAGGAAUCGCUAGUAAUCGUAGAUCAGCAACGCUACGGUGAAUACGUUCCCGGGUCUUGUACACACCG